AAUCCAUGGUGUGGGCAUUUUUGAAUCAACAUCUUGAAACAUUCCCACGCCUCAUAAAAACUUUCUCCUUCCAUCUGUCUGAAGUUAGUGAUCUCUCUUCUUAGUUG
This is a small nucleolar RNA of Gossypium raimondii (Peruvian cotton), 107 nucleotides long. It matches the Rfam family "Plant small nucleolar RNA R71". From Rfam's summary of the family: R71 is a member of the C/D box family of snoRNAs containing the C (UGAUGA) and D (CUGA) box motifs. The record is from Rfam. NCBI's taxonomy places the organism in Eukaryota, Viridiplantae, Streptophyta, Magnoliopsida, Malvales, Malvaceae.